This 253-nucleotide ribosomal RNA is filed under the name uncultured bacterium. Its description in RNAcentral is "partial 16S ribosomal RNA". It matches the Rfam family "Bacterial small subunit ribosomal RNA", at positions 524 to 776 of the family's 1533-position model. The record is from RNAcentral.
UACGAAGGGUGCAAGCGUUGUUCGGAUUCACUGGGCGUAAAGGGUGCGUAGGUGGUCGGGUAAGUCCGGUGUGAAAUCUCGGAGCUCAACUCCGAAACUGCAUUGGAUACUAUUUGGCUAGAGGGUUGGAGGGGGGACUGGAAUUCUCGGUGUAGCAGUGAAAUGCGUAGAUAUCGAGAGGAACACCAGUGGCGAAGGCGAGUCUCUGGACAGCAACUGACGCUGAGGCACGAAGGCCAGGGGAGCAAACGGG